AUUGAACGCUGGCGGCAUGCCUUACACAUGCAAGUCGAACGGCAGCACGGGAGCAAACCUGGUGGCGAGUGGCGAACGGGUGAGUAAAGUAUCGGAACGUGCCCAGUCGUGGGGGAUAACGUAGCGAAAGUUACGCUAAUACCGCAUACGAUCUAUGGAUGGAAGCGGGGGAUCGCAAGACCUCGCGCGAUUGGAGCGGCCGAUAUCAGAUUAGGUAGUUGGUGGGGUAAAGGCUCACCAAGCCGACGAUCUGUAGCUGGUCUGAGAGGACGACCAGCCACACUGGGACUGAGACACGGCACAGACGCCUACGGGAGGCAGCAGUGGGGAAUUUUGGACAAUGGGCGAAAGCCUGAUCCAGCCAUGCCGCGUGCAGGAUGAAGGCCUUCGGGUUGUAAACUGCUUUUGUACGGAACGAAAAGGUUUGGCCUAAUAAGCUGAGCUCAUGACGGUACCGUAAGAAUAAGCAUCGGCUAACUACGUGCCAGCCGCCGCGGUAA
This 500-nucleotide ribosomal RNA is filed under the name uncultured bacterium. RNAcentral's name for it is "partial 16S ribosomal RNA". It matches the Rfam family "Bacterial small subunit ribosomal RNA", at positions 30 to 523 of the family's 1533-position model. The record is from RNAcentral.